UCCCCUAUCGCGGAUCGUGGAGACACUUUCCUUCAGUUCGGCUGGAUAGGUGACAGGUGCUGCAUGGCUGUCGUCAGCUCGUGUCGUGAGAUGUUGGGUUAAGUCCCGCAACGAGCGCAACCCUCGCCUUUAGUUGCCAGCAUUUAGUUGGGUACUCUAAAGGAACCGCCGGUGAUAAGCCGGAGGAAGGUGGGGAUGACGUCAAGUCCUCAUGGCCCUUACGCGUUGGGCUACACACGUGCUACAAUGGCGACUACAGUGGGCAGCCACCUCGCGAGAGGGAGCUAAUCUCCAAAAGUCGUCUCAGUUCGGAUCGUUCUCUGCAACUCGAGAGCGUGAAGGCGGAAUCGCUAGUAAUCGCGGAUCAGCAUGCCGCGGUGAAUACGUUCCCAGGCCUUGUACACACCGCCCGUCACACCAUGGGAGUUGGAUUCACUCGAAGGCGUUGAGCUAACCGUAAGGAGGCAGGCGACCACAGUGGGUUUAGCGACUGGGGUGAAGUCGUAACAAGGUAAGCGUAGAUGA
This 525-nucleotide ribosomal RNA is filed under the name uncultured bacterium. RNAcentral's name for it is "bacterial SSU rRNA". It matches the Rfam family "Bacterial small subunit ribosomal RNA", at positions 987 to 1509 of the family's 1533-position model. The record is from RNAcentral.